RNAcentral lists this ribosomal RNA (1025 nucleotides) under marine metagenome. RNAcentral's name for it is "bacterial SSU rRNA". It matches the Rfam family "Archaeal small subunit ribosomal RNA", at positions 366 to 1391 of the family's 1478-position model. The record is from RNAcentral.
CGUGACGGGGGGAUCCCAAGUGUCAUGCCUUAGGGCAUGACUUUUGCAGAGUGUAAAAAGCUCUUCGAAUAAGAGCUGGGUAAGACCGGUGCCAGCCGCCGCGGUAACACCGGCAGCUCAAGUGGUGGCCACUAUUAUUGGGCCUAAAGCGUCCGUAGCCGGAUUGAUAAGUCCUUGGGAAAAUCCGCUCGUUCAACGAACGGGAACCUGAGGAUACUGUCAAACUAGGGAACGAGAGAAGUCAGAAGUACUCCUGGGGUAGCGGUGAAAUGUUGUAAUCCUGGGGGGACUACCAGUGGCGAAGGCGUCUGACUAGAGCGGGUCCGACGGUGAGGGACGAAAGCCAGGGGAGCGAACGGGAUUAGAUACCCCGGUAGUCCUGGCUGUAAACGCUGUGGGCUAGGUGUUGCAUGCUCUACGGGGGCGUGCAGUGCCGAAGAGAAGUUGAUAAGCCUACCGCCUGGGAAGUACUGUCGCAAGGCAGAAACUUAAAGGAAUUGGCGGGGGAGCACCACAAGGGGUGAAGUCUGCGGUUCAAUUGGAUUCAACGCCGGAAAUCUCACCGGGAGCGACGGCAGAAUGAAGGUCAAGCUAACGACUUUGCUGAACGAGCCGAGAGGAGGUGCAUGGCCGUCGUCAGCUCGUACCGUGAGGCGUCCUGUUAAGUCAGGCAACGAGCGAGACCCGUGCCCCUAGUUGUCAGCGAAUCCCUACGGGGAUGUCGGUCACACUAGGGGGACCGCUUACGAUAAGUAAGAGGAAGGAGCGAGCGACGAUAGGUCAGUAUGCCCCAAAUCUCCCGGGCUACACGCGGACUGCAAUGGCCGGGACAAAUGGUCCCAACUUCGAAAGAAGACGGAAAUCCUAAAACCCGGUCUAAGUUCGGAUUGAGGGCUGCAAUUCGCCCUCAUGAAGCCGGAAUCCCUAGUAAUCGCGUGUCAUUAUCGCGCGGUGAAUAUGUCCCUGCUCCUUGCACACACCGCCCGUCACACCACCCGAGUGAGGUCGAGGCAAGGCUCUGCUCA